UACAGAGGUGGCAAGCGUUGUUCGGAAUUACUGGGCGUAAAGGGCGCGUAGGCGGUCUUGUAAGUCUCGUGUGAAAUCCCUCGGCUUAACUGAGGAACUGCACGGGAUACUGCUUGACUUGAGUUCGGGAGAGGGAAGCGGAAUUCCCGGUGUAGUGGUGGAAUGCGUAGAUAUCGGGGGGAACACCAGUGGCGAAAGCGGCACCCUGGCGUUAGCCUGACGCUCAUGUGCGAAAGCGUGGGGAGCGAACGGG
This 253-nucleotide ribosomal RNA is filed under the name uncultured bacterium. RNAcentral's name for it is "partial 16S ribosomal RNA". It matches the Rfam family "Bacterial small subunit ribosomal RNA", at positions 524 to 776 of the family's 1533-position model. The record is from RNAcentral.